GCAUAUUUAAGAGGCUUAUUUCAUUACCUAUUUCCCCUGAGUUCUUUUCUCCUCCCAUAUAGACUUGCCUAUCUAUAUAUGGCCUUAAUUUCUAGACUAACAAGUAGUUUUUUAUUCUGCCUCAUUUACCGAAUGAGCAUUCCCUUGUUACCUUGCCCGAGGUCAUGCAUGAGUUCCCAGAAAAUUGAAAGUUAGUCUGCAUUCCCUGGUCACAUCCUACCCAACAAAGCAGUUUCACUGCAGCAUAGAAUCCCCUGGUGCAUAAUUGAGACCUAACUUCAGACUUCUAAACAGGGUAAUGUCAACUCCCUCCUCCAGCUGUUCCAGGCAGUUAUCUUUACCAGCUGUUUACCAUCGUCAACAAUGACAUACUUCUGCAUGUCUGAAAUAUGUGAAACUUCAAAACGGCCCUUUCAUGUUUCUACCCAAGAUUAUCCCUUAACUCCAAGAGAAGAGUGACACAAUCAGUCUUUGUCACCAUCAUAUGCCUGGCUCCUAGAAGACUGAAAGAUGAUAAUGAGUAUCUGUUGAAUGAAUGCCUGUAACCCUGAAGGUCACCAUUAAAGGACAACAGACAACUUGUCCUCAAACAUAAGGAAGUGCAACUAAAGAGACUAUCAAAAAAAAAAAAAAAGAAACCUCAGCCCUUUCACCCUCCCUUUCAACCCAAAGUCAGCAAAUACAGUGUUCAUUAAGUUGUGAGUGAAAUUUCAAAAUUGUCAGCAACAAAAAUAUUUUGUGUACCUACCACAUUAAAACACACUUCUAGGUGCCAGGGGAAAUAAAACUUCUAUAUGUUAAAGUUCUGACUCCUCAGAAGCUCACAGUACAGACAUAAAAUUCCAAUACAAAGCAGGCUUUGCAAAUAAUGGAAUGGAAACACAAAGUUUUG
This 892-nucleotide long non-coding RNA is filed under the name Homo sapiens (human). RNAcentral's name for it is "HSALNT0339174". The record is from RNAcentral. Lineage: Eukaryota; Metazoa; Chordata; Mammalia; Primates; Hominidae.